Molecule: non-coding RNA, 1325 nt
Organism: Camelina sativa (false flax)
Lineage: Eukaryota; Viridiplantae; Streptophyta; Magnoliopsida; Brassicales; Brassicaceae
Source: RefSeq, a predicted model, not a curated record
ACGAAAAAAGAAAACCAUUUCAUUUCUCUUUUUUCUUCCUCAUCUCAUUCACACUUCUUCUUCCUCUCUAGGGUUAAGAGUAGGGAGAAGCCAAGGUUUUGGCUAAGCAGCCAUGAGUGAGACGAGAGAUAAGCAUUGCAUACCCAGAUCCGUUUCUUACAACCCAAAUUCUUCGUUGUUGUUCUCCUUUAGCUCUUCCUUUACUCUCCGUAGCUCUCACCUUCUCAUUAAAAUGUCAAUUUCAUCUCGUCGGAGAAGGGUUUUGAGUCUAUUGAGCAAAGGACUGCAAGAGGUUUUACAGAUCGAAAUCACCGAAGAAGAUUUUUCUCACUAGGACCGACUAUGACAGAGGAGUCAACACUUUUUCUCCCGAAGGAAAGCUGUUCCAAGUUGAACUCUUGAGGUGGAUAGUGGUUACUUUGCAGGCUAUUUGCAGCUGCAGAAGGAGCUUGAUGAGUAUGAGAAGAAGAUGUCACUCAUGGAGGCUAUAACAGAUAACAAAAUCAGUUCAAGUUCUUGCUAAAAGAGAUGCCGAUGCCAACAGCCAAGCAGUUAAUUUGGAAGUUUUGAGCAUACUUCUUCAGGGAGAUCAAGUAUGUUGACCCUUACAAACCAUAUUUCUCAUUUCUAAUGUAUAUGUGUUCAGAUAUCUCUAGUUGUUACUAAACCUUAUUUGCUAUCUGUUAGUGUAACCAUAUUACUGUUAUAGUAAGGAAAACAAAUGUGUUGAGGUGAACAUUAGGAGUUAUGCAUUUUAUGGAUCUACGAUGAGCAUGCAUUUCUUUAUCUACUCUGCUGCCUCAAAGUCGGAGCUCUUGACUGUUGAGUUUGUACCUGGUCGAAUCUAAGAACGUUCAAGCGAUUUGAAACUAGAGCUUGUGUCAAUUGAAACAGAAUUAGGUUUGAUAGAUUGAAUAUGAGGCAAAGGAUCGAUUAAAUCUCUGCUCAUGAGGUAUUUCUAACACUUCUCGUAUUUUAAAAUGCAUCUCACUGAUAUGGGUUUUUAAAGAUCUGAAUGGUGUCUGAAAUGUUGUUCUUUGUUAUAAUGCCUUAGAAAUUAUAUUGACCAUUGGUCAUUAACUGUUGACAUGUAUUAGUUUCUUUGUUUUGUGCAAGAAGAAGCAGAGAUCAAUUAUGGUUUAGCAGGUGAUCUAUUAAGCAAGAAGAGGAGCAUUAGAUGAUGAUUGAUCUCAUAUAUUAGUACUCUUAUCUUGUAAUAGUAGAGUAGUUGAUUUUUUUGUAUUAGAUUUGGUUUGGAUUAAUCUUUGUAAGACUUAUAUAGGUUUUUAUGGAUUUUAUAUGAAAUAAAAAUAUAUUUAAAUAUA